GGCGGUGGCACCACGUAGCCGCCUCCUUCCACCGCUCGCUUUAUCCCCGCCCCUUCUCGGGCCAACCCCAAGCGCCGCUGACCCCGAACGUCGCUGCGGGGUAGGUAGGGGGUGGGAGGGUGGAGGACCGCAGGCGAGAGGGAGAAGGAAGGGCGCCCGGGGAGCAGGCUGGCAGAGUGACCGGGAUUGAUGAGCGGCGCAGCUCUGGAGGGACGCGGGCGAGAGGGUCGCUCCUCGGGGAGAGGGCUGGUUUUGCCUUUUCCGGAAUGCCAUAUAUAAGGAAUCAUACAGUAUGCAGUCUUUCUUUCAAUUUUGCUGUGAAACUAAAACUGCUAAGAAAAUAAAGUCUUAAAAAGAAAAAUCAAUGGAGAAGGGAAAGCCGCCCUGCUGGUUGCCUCCACACCCCUCCUGCCGCCUUCCUCUCAGAACCCUAGCAGCUGUGUUCAGCGUCCCCCUCUUAAAGCAGCCACAUGCUCUGGGAAGACUGGCCCUCUGCGUCACAUCUGGCAGUCCCAUUCCUCUUGCUAAUGUGUGGUUCAGGAAUGGGCAGGUGGCCCAAUUCUGGUCAACAAGCCAUGAGAAGAAUCUGCUAGAGGUUUCCUUGCAUCUAAGAAAUGGUCUCUUUCGCCCUUGGACUUGGUUGGGUUUGGAUGUGAUGCCUCGAUCCUCUACAGCCUGAUGACAAAGACCACACCAAGGAUGGCAGAGUGGAAGGAUAAAAAGAACCAGGGCCUUCCAGCCUUUGUUGUAUGGCUGACUUAACCAACCUUGAAGGUGGCCUUACUCACGACUUCCUGUCAGAUGAGACAAAUUUCUUGGUUAAGAUACUUUGACAGGGGUUUUCCGUUUCAUACAACUGAAAGUAUCCUGACUUAAACACCUUUUGAGGUUCUGCCCCAAGCCUUUAUUGAUUUUCUCCUCUUGAAUCACCACCAGCAUUUCUGCAUUUCUCUUAGUACCACGUUUUUUCUAUUCCCCACACCCACCACCCCCUCUCUUCCCUAGCUGUUUCUGUCUCAAACAAUACAGGGAAACAUUUUAGGGUGUCUGACAGAUCACACCCACCCCUUUCUCAGACCUUCUCAACCACAAGGUGCUCUCCCACCUCCAGCGAGGUUUGUACUUCACAGUUGAUGGGGUCCCGGUAGAUUCAGGCUGGGCCAACCUGAGAGUCUGUCUCAGUAACAAAGGGAACCCUGCGCCCAGCUGAAGUGCAGGCAAUGUUUACCCGAAAGCUGGGGGUGGGUCCGCAUUUCCAGGAGGAAGCCAAGACUCUCCCUCAUCCUCUGCAGAAAGAGGAAGGAAGCCUAAACAGAGAAAAACAGUAGCAGAGUCUGACAGCCUGGGUGCUGUGUAUGGUUGUGCAUUUUGUGCUCUGAAAGGCUCCCAUCCCUGCUAAAGGCCUGCUUCUAGAUUUAAAGAGGACUCUGUCUUUGAGGUCUAUGAGAUUUUUAGAUGGAAUCAUUCAUCACAUCCCAUUUGGGCUUUAGAUACUUUGAAGUGAGUAUCUCAAAUUUUCAAAUCAAAGAACCCUGAUUAAAACAAAAGGUCUUCUCACCUCAAAUCCUUUAUGAAAUGAGGUCAACUUAAAAUACUUUUUAGUUAGCUAUGAUAUAAAAUUAAACUAUAUUUUUGUUAUAGUUAAUGAAUUAAUAUUGUAUCUUCUGUUCCUUAGUCGAAAAGUGAGCAGUUAAAUGGUCUAUUUCUCUAACAAAACAAUUAACUGAUUCCUCAGGAUUUACCGCCCACUGUGACCCUCUUGCCCUGUGCCCACACAUACCUACUAAAGACCAGUUUUCAGAUCCCCAGGAAUAACAUAAAAUGGGGCAUAUCUGUCUCGUAAAUAUGAUUGAAUAAGCAUAUGUAGAGCACAGUUGUUUCACUUUUAAGAAUCAAUUAUAAUCAUUUGUACAAUAAAAUGAAUUAUGUCUUUCA
This 1935-nucleotide long non-coding RNA is filed under the name Homo sapiens (human). RNAcentral's name for it is "HSALNT0321054". Lineage: Eukaryota; Metazoa; Chordata; Mammalia; Primates; Hominidae. The record is from RNAcentral.